GGAUGUGAGAGUGAUCUGGCCAUGACAUCUGUCAUCCCAUUGAUUUCCAGGGACAGGCGGGUGUCCCCUUCCUCCAACUAUGUGCUUCCCUCCCAAAGCUGCACUCUUGGUCCAAGAGAAAGUGUUGUUGUGGUGGUCUGGUGUCAGGCUGCACCGCGGAGAAGAGAGCGGACGUCCAGAGCAAAGGGGUACACAAAU
This 198-nucleotide small nuclear RNA is filed under the name Erinaceus europaeus (western European hedgehog). RNAcentral's name for it is "7SK RNA". It matches the Rfam family "7SK RNA", at positions 1 to 199 of the family's 331-position model. From Rfam's summary of the family: 7SK was discovered as an abundant small nuclear RNA in the mid-70s but a possible function has only recently been suggested. Two independent studies have found that 7SK RNA binds the CDK9/cyclin T complex (known as elongation factor P-TEFb). The record is from Rfam by way of RNAcentral. Lineage: Eukaryota; Metazoa; Chordata; Mammalia; Eulipotyphla; Erinaceidae.